GAGAGUGGAUUUUGUGGGUGUAAAAAAGUAUUAUAAAAACAACAUGUUUUACAAAACACCCACACCCAUGUGUUGGUGUAAAAAAGUAUUUCUGUUUUUUAUCUUAAAUCAGAUGAAGAAAUAAUUUCACUAAGUAAGUAGUUAAAGACCCGGGAAGAAAAGUUCAGCAACUGGAAACAUGUGCGAUAGCCUGGACACACCAUCAAUAUUUCUUAUCGGUGGUUAUGAUGGUGUGACUUGGCUAUCAUCUCUCGAUUGUUUUUCUCCAAAAAAAAUAAUAUUCUGGUGCCUCUCAUGUUGAUGUGCUCUGCUUGUUCAUAUGCAUCUGUUGCUUCAGUGGAAGGCUAUGCAUUUGUAUUUGGUGGUGAGGAUGGAGUGCAAGUAUACAAUACAAGGAGUAACAAGUGGAUGAUAUGCCCUGGUUUGACCAUGAGAAAGGAACUCUUGCUUGAGUAAGUCAUAAUAGCAAAAUCUACGCAAUGGAUGGAGAUGGAACUCAAACUUAUUCAGAAGUUGUGAUGCUUACCCUUUUCUUUUCAAGAGGAGAAGCCGGUGAGGUGUUGCUGCUGCAGAUCGCAGGCGGACCUAUGCGACGACAGAAGGUAGAGGGUAGCAAGGUGGCGCCGUGGGUGG
Long non-coding RNA from Lolium rigidum, 633 nucleotides. RefSeq lists it as uncharacterized. The record is from RefSeq and is a predicted model, not a curated record. The transcript is spliced from 3 exons. NCBI's taxonomy places the organism in Eukaryota, Viridiplantae, Streptophyta, Magnoliopsida, Poales, Poaceae.